AUGUUCUCGUCUCUGGCGCCGGCGGCGGCGGCCUCCAAGAACGCGGACGGCGACGAGGGGCGCCGAAGCGGCCCGGCGUCGCCGGAGAGGCUGCGCCACAUGCACGCGGACGUGGCCGAGCUGCUCCGGGCCAACACCACCCCACGCCGCCGGCGGCCGAAGAAGCCGGUGCCGGCCACGCCCGCGGAGGAGCGCCGCCACGCGCGCUACGGCUGCGCGUUCGAGGAGGAGGCGCUGGCGGAGGGCGGGUUCGCGCCGCCACGGAUGGUGUGGGCGAAGGUGAAGGGAUACCCGCGGUGGCCGGGCCAGGUGUUCGACCCGGCGGACGCGUCGAAGCAAGCGCUGCGCGAGCGCAAGCGGGGGCCGAACGGGGCCGCCCUGGUCGCCUGCUUCGGGGACGGCUCCUUCGUGUGGGCCGGCGCGGCGGACCUCACCCCGCUCCGCCACGACUUCCCGCGCCUCGCCGCCGUCGGCCUGCGGAGCAACCACAAGGCCGAGUUCGCCCUCGCCCUGGACGACGCGCUGGCCGAGGUCGCCCGCCGCGUGGACGCCGGUCUCUCCUGCGGGUGCCCCGGCGCCGCCGCCGCCGCUAGGAAGCAGCUGUUUCCGAACUCCGGCCUCCGCAGAGGCGCGUCCGGCGCCGCGGUGGACGCCGGCUUCGCCCGGGGCGCGCUCCGCGGCGAGGCGCUCGUCGCGUACGUCGGCGCGCUGGCGGUGGCGCCGGGGGAAGGCGCCGACAGGCUCGACCACGCCGUCGCCGCGGCACAGCUGGCAGCGUUCGACCGAUGGAGAGGCAAGACCGUCAUCGUGUCCGCCGCGCCUGCAAGCCGCGCUGCGACUCCCAAGAGGACGACAAGGGCAAGGGGCCAAGACGAUGGCGGCAUGCUGCUCUCCGCGACGCCACGUGCACGCCGUGCAACUACCCCCAAGCGAGCAAGACCCACGGGACGAGACGACGGCGCCGGCGGCUCCGCCAUGGUGUUCUCCGCGACGCGCGUGAGCCGCACCACAACCCCGAGGAGGGCAAGGGCAAGGGGGCAAGACGGCGGCGACGCCUCCGCCGGCAACCGGGUCAUGACAAGGUGCGCGCGCGCGGCCGCCGCGGCGGACGCGGCCUUCGUUCGGAACGUGUUCCGCGGCGAUGCGAGCGUGGAGCACUACGCCUCCGCGAAGGGCCUGACGCCGCAUGCCGGAGCCGAGCGGCGCGACCUCGCCAUCGCCGUCGCCACGCCGCAGCCGAGGGCCGUCGCCGCGUGGAGGGGCGCCCCAAGCCUCCUCCCCGACGAGCAGACCGCGACCCACGACGCCACCGAGGGCGCCGCGAACGCCAAGGCCAAGAUGAUGGCAAGAUCGACGGGAGGCGAGGACUCCGCCGGCGACCCCGGCAAGUGGAGGACGACGAGCUGCAUCAGCUCAAGGGAGGAGAACUCGGGGUGCGAGGACGACGUCGUCGACGACGAUGAUGCCACGGGAUCGGAGUGCUCCUCCGAGGCCCCGUCCCAUGAGACGACGUCUGCAACAGUGGCGCAACCAUCGCCCAUUCAUCUACAACACGACCCGUCCGGCUUGCCACUUCCGUACGUGUACGAGUCCUUCCCCGAGCUUCUGCAGCCGGUGACCGCUUUUUCAGACGAGUUCCUACAGGAGACGAGGGCAGUGCGGUGGCACGAGAGGGCAGAACAGAUCGCCGACGAUGUGAAGUGUUUGUCGCUGAGUGUGAAGGAGUGGAAGAGAGUGAAGGCAGAGAUGGAGGGAGAUCCAACCAUCUGUCGUGAACGCCGGGAAGCGACCAUUGAAGUUGCCAAGCAGCACUCCAACUGGGAGCUGCACAAUUUGGGCCGGAGGAUCUACUUCGAGAGCAAUGCGGAGGAGAGAGCCAGGAUGCCGCCCCCAAGUGCAUCGGCGUUCGAUAUCAUCAGCUGGGGAAGGGCGGAGGCGAAAACUCCAGCUGGCAAGGCAAGCAAUGGCAAGGGCAAGGGCACUCCCGGCGCCUCGUCAUCCCGUGCUGCCCCUCCCCCUCCACCGCCGGCGCGUUUCCGCCCUAAACGCAGGCGCCUGCACAUCCCGGUGCACCAAGCGCGGUGGCACUGGGAGUACAGGCAGCCCCUCCCCUACCCCGACGUGACGCUGCCGCACUGUUGGCAUUUAGAUCCAAACCGGAUCCCUGUGCCGGCGGUUCCGCGGACCCAGCGGGCGCACGACGAAGAGGUGCGCCGGCGCCGCGCGCUGCUCACGCCGGAGCAGCGUCGGCUGCCCGAGUACGCCGCCGACUCUCCUAACUGGGAGGCUUGGUUCGCCCUCGAACACGAGGAGCAACGACGCUCGGGUGUCGACUCCGUCCCGCCGCCGUUCCCACCGCCUUCCCCGGAGGUAGAGCCGGAGGACAUGGAGGCGGAGGCGGAGUACCAAGCCGCCCUCGAGGAGGCCCUGCAGCACGCGCUGGAGGCUAGCCGCAUCAAGGAGGACGCGCACUGGGAUGGGCUGGAGCAAGCCCUUGCCCUGUCGGCGGCGGGGGACUCCGUUCACACCCCGCUCUUCGUGCCGCCGCCUCCACCGUCGCCGCCCGUCCAGCCCAAGCCGGAGCCGGAGCCAUCGCGUAAGCGCUCCCCGCCUCCACCCACUUGGCCGGAGGAGGCCUACUCGUGGACGGGCCAGUACCGCGAGUGGGUGAGCGCGCCUCCCGUCCACUUCGCCGCGACGCCGGAGGAGGAGGCGGCCCACCUCGAGCGAUGGAAGGAGCACUGGCUCCGCCAGGAGCAAGCCGACGGCGAGGAGUAG
Molecule: ribosomal RNA, 2778 nt
Filed under: Triticum aestivum (bread wheat)
Lineage: Eukaryota; Viridiplantae; Streptophyta; Magnoliopsida; Poales; Poaceae
Description: partial small subunit ribosomal RNA
Source: RNAcentral